GCCGAAGUGGCGGAAUUGGCAGACGCGGCGGUCUCAAAAACCGUUGGGUACUCCCCAUGCCGGUUCGAGUCCGGCCUUCGGCA
Caloramator quimbayensis is the source of this 83-nucleotide non-coding RNA. The record is from Rfam. Lineage: Bacteria; Bacillati; Bacillota; Clostridia; Eubacteriales; Clostridiaceae.